Molecule: ribosomal RNA, 688 nt
Filed under: uncultured bacterium
Lineage: Bacteria
Description: bacterial SSU rRNA
Rfam family: Bacterial small subunit ribosomal RNA
Source: RNAcentral
AGAGUUUGAUCCUGGCUCAGGAUAAACGCUAGCGGGAGGCCUAACACAUGCAAGUCGAGGGGCAGCGGGGUAGCAAUACUGCCGGCGACCGGCGCACGGGUGAGUAACGCGUAUGUAACCUACCUUUUACACGGGGAUAGCCUAGAGAAAUUUGGAUUAAUACCCGAUGGUAUUUUAUUGACGAUGGUUGGUAAAAUUAAAGAAUUUCGGUAAAAGAUGGGCAUGCGUCUGAUUAGCUAGUUGGUGAGGUAAGAGCUCACCAAGGCGACGAUCAGUAGGGGCUCUAAGAGGAGUAACCCCCACACUGACACUGAGAUACGGGUCAGACUCCUACGGGAGGCAGCAGUGAGGAAUAUUGGUCAAUGGUCGAAAGGCUGAACCAGCCAUCCCGCGUGCAGGAUGAAGGAGCUCUGCUUUGUAAACUGCUUUUUUAGGGGAAGAAAAAAACUUUUCGUAAGUUCUUGCCGGUACCCUAAGAAUAAGCACCGGCUAACUACGUGCCAGCAGCCGCGGUAAUACGUAGGGUGCAAGCGUUAUCCGGAAUUAUUGGGUUUAAAGGACGCGUAGGCGGUUACUUAAGCCAGAGGUGAAAGUUUGCAGCUCAACUGUAAAAUUGCCUUUGAUACUGGGUUGACUAGAGAGGUUUCGACGUGGAUGGAAUGUGUGGUGUAGCGGUGAAAUGCGUAGA